Cyprinus carpio (common carp) is the source of this 1812-nucleotide long non-coding RNA. The record is from Ensembl. NCBI's taxonomy places the organism in Eukaryota, Metazoa, Chordata, Actinopteri, Cypriniformes, Cyprinidae.
CUUCUCUGUAGCCAGGUCAGGCGCUUCUGCCGCUGUUUCUGGUUCAAAAGCACACGCCUGUGCACGGUGGCUCUGGAUGUUUCUACUCCAGACUCAGUCCACUGCUUCCGCAGGUCCCCCAAGGUCUGGAAUCGGUCCUUCUCCACAAUCUUCCUCAGGGUCCGGUCACCUCUUCUCGUUGUGCAGCGUUUUUUGCCACACUUUUUCCUUCCCACAGACUUCCCACUGAGGUGCCUUGAUACAGCACUCUGGGAACAGCCUAUUCGUUCAGAAAUUUCUUUCUGUGUCUUACCCUCUCGCUUGAGGGUGUCAAUGAUGGCCUUCUGGACAGCAGUCAGGUCGGCAGUCUUACCCAUGAUUGCGGUUUUGAGUAAUGAACCAGGCUGGGAGUUUUUAAAAGCCUCAGGAAUCUUUUGCAGGUGUUUAGAGUUAAUUAGUUGAUUCAGAUGAUUAGGUUAAUAGCUCGUUUAGAGAACCUUUUCAUGAUAUGCUAAUUUUUUGAGAUAGGAAUUUUGGGUUUUCAUGAGCUGUAUGCCAAAAUCAUCAGUAUUAAAACAAUAAAAGACCUGAAAUAUUUCAGUUGGUGUGCAAUGAAUCUAAAAUAUAUGAAAGUUUAAUUUUUAUCAUUACAUUAUGGAAAAUAAUUAACUUUUUCACAAUAUGCUAAUUUUUUGAGAAGGACCUGUGUGUGUAUAUAUAUAUAUAUAUAUAUAUAUAUAUAUCCAUGCCUGGUAAGUGAAGCAGGUUUAAAUCGGAGGUUUUAAAUCUAGAAGUGAAGUUUAAAUCAUUUUAUUGCUUCCAGAUGUUUCUUCAUGAUGUUUUGUUCUUUAAUCAAAAUAGGUCAAGUGGCACAUGUUCCUUAAUGACAUCAUCUAUCAUCCUGCAGGAAGUGACAUUAUUUUGGAGGGAAAUCCACAUCAGUGAAUCUCGAUUAUCUCCGACAUUCCAAGAGCAUCUGGAUUGUACUGAACAUGGAAAUCUGCGGCGCACGGAGCAGGUAUUCGGCCCUCGGCGAGCCAGUGGAAAAACUGAGCUGCUGGAUGUGAAUCUCAGAGAUAACGGCUGAGGUCAGACGAAUGUGAGGUAAUGACAGAAAGCAGAAAAACAUCCGUCCGCAGAGAGCCAUCACAAAUACUUGAUUCCGAAUAAUGUGUGUGACGUCACCAGAGAACUGACUGCUUCACCUGAUGGAUGGAUGAUAAAAACCACCCUAGAUUUGCUGGAGAAACUAUUUUCACCCAGAUAUUGCCAUCAAGAAGAAGUAAAAAAAUCACAUAUACUAGUGCAUUCGAAAUCAAGUAAAUUCGAUUCUUUUGUAAUGUACUGCAGUCAACUUUUUGUUUUGUAUUUAUUUUACUUUGUUUAUAACUCUGAAUUUUUUAUUCAGAUUUGACAUUAUAUUUUUUAUUCAUUUGACGUUUCAAAACGCUGAUAUCUCCUUUGGAGGAUGCAGAUCUAGUUUCCAUCAUCGCAGUCUGUAGUUCAUGUGAUUUUAUUUUGGCAGUAUGAUUCUUAAAAAAAUACAAGCAGAAAUCACAUUGUGUUGCAUUAAAUAUUAACGGCGAUGAAAGAUAAAAAGUAACUUAAUGUGAGCCAGAGUUAUUUUAGUAUCAUUGCAAAACUAUUAUAGUUUGUUAAUAUUUCAAAUUAUAUAUAUAUAUUCCAUUUUAAUUUUAGUUAGUUUUAGAAUUUUUGUGCAUUUUCGACAUUUUUAUUAGUUAUUGCUUUUUAAAAUUUAUUUAUAUAGUUUUUUAUUCAUUUAUAAUGUUUAAUAUUAAAGGGUUUUAAAAAGGUUGGGGUUUAAAAGACUAU